CAGUAGCCACGGGAAUACGUAGGUGGCAAGCGUUGUCCGGAAUUAUUGGGCGUAAAGGGCUCGCAGGCGGUUUCUUAAGUCUGAUGUGAAAGCCCCCGGCUCAACCGGGGAGGGUCAUUGGAAACUGGGAAACUUGAGUGCAGAAGAGGAGAAUGGAAUUCCACGUGUAGCGGUGAAAUGCGUAGAGAUGUGGAGGAACACCAGUGGCGAAGGCGACUCUCUGGUCUGUAACUGACGCUGAGGAGCGAAAGCGUGGGGAGCGAACAGGAUUAGAUACCCCGGUAGUCCCUGUCUCUUAUAC
This 301-nucleotide ribosomal RNA is filed under the name uncultured bacterium. RNAcentral describes it as "partial 16S ribosomal RNA". It matches the Rfam family "Bacterial small subunit ribosomal RNA", at positions 509 to 807 of the family's 1533-position model. The record is from RNAcentral.